UGUCCCUGACAUGGCUUGUCACUUGAAAAUAAAAAGAACAAACUGAUACAAUACCUUGACAUUCAACACCUUAUGUUAUAACUUUGUUUCAGCUGCAAGUAUCAUUCAUCUGUGAAACAUGCAUAGGGACACACAUCAUUUUUCUGGAGUUAUGUAGAAUCACGUUUUCCAAACUGGCAAAGCAUCACACAGUCUCACUGAAGGAGAAUUUAUAAAGAUGUGAAGAGUUUCAGGCAACUAGUCCCUCUUGUUCAACUGUUCAGUGCUAAAUUCAAGAAACAGCCAAUAGUGUUUCAGAUAAGUGGCAGACACUACAGUAGGGACUGAUGUGCAAGUGAGUAUUGACAGUAGCGGUCUGCAGUGGAAGAAUCUCACUUUCACGGCUACAGAUGGUGCAGUUGCUGUGCUUGACCAAAAAAUCAAUUUCUUGGCACUUUUAUAGUAGAUACUGAAAUUGUUUCCUAUGCCACAUCACAGUUUUGCAAUAAACUACUUUUCUUCUCAAAGAGCAUUUCUGUGUGUGAACAUGAGGAAAGCAAUGAGUGUGGUGACUUGAGCAGCAAAUUCCAUCCACAAUCACGCUCUCAAACAUUACCAGUUCAGAGCCUUUUUGGAAGACUUGGAAAGUAGUUAUUGGGUCAUGCCAUAUCACAAUGAAAAGUACAGGUUGAUCUGAGGUAAGUCCUUGAGAGAUUUUUUGAGCUUUGGAGAGAAGUAGGUAUAUUUAUGAGCAUGUGUGGUAAGCCUGUCGCAGAACUGAAAAAGAAAUGGUUACUAAUAAAUAUGUCGUCCUCCUGUGACAUUACACUUGUAUAAAUGUUUUGAAUUGUUUGUACAUGACAUUGGGAGUUCCAGGCACGUUUCAGUGUCAUAUGGCAGUUAUUGUUGUAUCCAUGCAGAUGAUGAAUAAUAGUGGUGAUAGGGAGGAACCCGGACAGACCUCAGCAGUGAUAUCAAAAGGCAGAGAAAUUCCAGCUAAACUCUAGAUGCAAUACAGAAGCCUUGCUCAGCUUACAUAAGUCUCUAUAACUCAAAUGACAAUGCUGUUCUGGGAUUAAUUUUUUCUCUGAUGAAGAAGAAGAACCACAACAACAACAACAACUACUACUACUACUACUACUACUACUACUACUGAUGACUCAGCCUUAUUUUCAAGUAUGUUAUACAAGGAGACCUGGCUUGGAUUUAAAGGGUGUUUUUAAAACAAAUUCAAGUAAUACUCAACAAAAAACUGAAGUAACUAACAGCUGUGAGUGAUAGCUAACUGGAAAAAGUGCAUAUACUCUGAAAUUAAAUCUUUCAGUAAAAUUUAACAAAAUCGGAUUUCCCUCAAUUUCCUGUAUGACAUAAUAAAUAUAACAACCUCAAAUAGAA
Molecule: long non-coding RNA, 1374 nt
Organism: Schistocerca gregaria
Lineage: Eukaryota; Metazoa; Arthropoda; Insecta; Orthoptera; Acrididae
Exons: 3
Source: RefSeq, a predicted model, not a curated record